Molecule: non-coding RNA, 85 nt
Organism: Flavobacteriaceae bacterium TMED116
Lineage: Bacteria; Pseudomonadati; Bacteroidota; Flavobacteriia; Flavobacteriales; Flavobacteriaceae
Source: Rfam
GCGCACGUGGCGGAAUUGGUAGACGCGCUAGGUUGAGGGCCUAGUAGGAGUUAAUCCUGUGGAAGUUCGACUCUUCUCGUGCGCA